Long non-coding RNA from Crotalus tigris (Tiger rattlesnake), 734 nucleotides. RefSeq lists it as uncharacterized. The transcript is spliced from 3 exons. The record is from RefSeq and is a predicted model, not a curated record. Lineage: Eukaryota; Metazoa; Chordata; Lepidosauria; Squamata; Viperidae.
UCAGAAAGCACUUGGAGGAAAUGCAAGAGAAGGCUGAAUGAGUGAAGCAGAAAGCGCUUGGAGGAAAUGCGAGAGAAGGCUGAAAGAGUGAAGCAGAAAGCAUUUGGAAAAAGGAGAUCCACAAAUGGCCCUUCACACACCCAUGGACUCCGUAGGACAGGAUGCCAUGAGCGGCAUGAGAGUCCAUGUUACCUGCGCUACGCCGCCCAGACCCAGCCUGGUUUCGACAGCCAGCGGCGUGUUCUCCUCAGCCCAAGAGUGGCUGGACUGGGCAAGGCGAACUGACAACAUGCCAAACCUGUCUGGGCAUGUGCAGAGACAGCGGCGAGCACAUGUGCCUGGCGCCUGGUGUCCCGGGUGAUUGUUUUGCAAUGCAGGCUGACCGUAUACUGAGUGCUUCCCUUUCACCAGGAUGCCAGGCUCCAGGCUGGCGUCUGGGCGGCAUAGAGCAGGUGGUGAAAUACUUUGUCAGCGACAGACUAAUAAAUGCAAAUAUGUUCUAGAGAAAAAUAUAUAAAAUGAUGAUUCAUUGUUGAUAGGUGGUCCAAAAGGAUACUACGAUUUACAAUAGUGAAGCCCACUGAAAGAUCCAGGAAGAAGGAUGUUUGUCCUACUUUCAUCCAAGCCUCAUCACAGAUCAACCAUUAGAGCAACCCAUGUACAAAUCUGAAUGAAGAUAAAAACAUUCCAGAGAGGAUAUUCUUACAAUUGACAAUUAUAUACUUGUACUCUGA